RNAcentral lists this ribosomal RNA (438 nucleotides) under uncultured bacterium. RNAcentral's name for it is "partial 16S ribosomal RNA". It matches the Rfam family "Bacterial small subunit ribosomal RNA", at positions 74 to 507 of the family's 1533-position model. The record is from RNAcentral.
UGUAGCUUGCUACUGAUCUUAGCGGCGGACGGGUGAGUAAUGCUUAGGAAUCUCCCUAUUAGGGGGGGACAACAUUCCGAAAGGAAUGCUAAUACCGCAUACGCCCUACGGGGGAAAGCAGGGGAUCUUCGGACCUUGCGCUAAUAGAUGAGCCUAAGUCAAAUUAGCUAGUUGGGGGGGUAAAGGCCUACCAAGGCGACAAUCUGUAGCGGGUCUGAAAGGAUGAUCCGCCACACUGGGACUGAAACACGGCCCAAACUCCUACGGGAGGCAGCAGGGGGGAAUAUUGGACAAGGGGGGGAACCCUGAUCCAGCCAUGCCGCGUGUGUGAAGAAGGCCUUUUGGUUGUAAAGCACUUUAAGCGAGGAGGAGGAGCUUCAGGUUAAUACCCUGGAUGCUUGGACGUUACUCGCAAAAUAAGCACCGGCUAACUCUGUG